UACGGAGGGGGCUAGCGUUGUUCGGAAUUACUGGGCGUAAAGCGCGCGUAGGCGGCUUUUCAAGUCGAUUGUGAAAUCCCCGGGCUUAACCUGGGAACUGCAGUCGAGACUGUCUAGCUAGAGUAUGGGAGAGGGAAGUGGAAUUUCAGGUGUAGCGGUGAAAUGCGUAGAUAUCUGAAGGAACAUCAGUGGCGAAAGCGACUUCCUGGACCAAUACUGACGCUCAUGUGCGAAAGCGUGGGGAGCAAACAGG
This 253-nucleotide ribosomal RNA is filed under the name uncultured bacterium. RNAcentral describes it as "partial 16S ribosomal RNA". It matches the Rfam family "Bacterial small subunit ribosomal RNA", at positions 524 to 776 of the family's 1533-position model. The record is from RNAcentral.